Molecule: long non-coding RNA, 3762 nt
Organism: Oreochromis niloticus (Nile tilapia)
Lineage: Eukaryota; Metazoa; Chordata; Actinopteri; Cichliformes; Cichlidae
Exons: 2
Source: RefSeq, a predicted model, not a curated record
GAAAGAUUUUAUGUUUUAUGUGUUUUUAUUCGUUGUUUUAUUAUCUUUCAUUAAGAAGCAUAUCAUGAAGUGUUCAUAUAUUUCACAAGGUUUCUGUUGUGCAAGCUGACAUUUAACUCUACAACACAAAUAAGUUAGACAGGAAACAGAUGCAGCACCCAAACCACAAGAGUUGAAAAGUGCACCACGUUUCCUAGAGGAAGCAGCCAGACACACAUGUGACACACACACACCCACACACACAACCAUUGGUUUAGAGGAACUUGUAAAAGAGGAAAUGUGAUGUGCUUGCAUACGUGAUGUAACUUAUAAAAAGAACUGUUGCCUGCACUCAGUGUGUGGGUCUCACCAGAGUCCUCACCCGUGCGCGGGGUCUCGCCAGAGGCCUCACGCAUGCACGUUGCAGUUACUAUAUUCUAACUGUCUGAGUGUCUUUAUUCAACCUGAAGAAUGUCUUAUUAAGAAUAAACUCUUGACAUUUAAUUGGUCCUCCGAGCCGGAUGUAGGACAUCGAAUUAUAACUAAUUUUAUGCUCCAACGGAGUGACCUCGUCGUUUCCUGACAUCGUGGAGAGCCCGCGCUGAAGUCUGUCGACAGCCUCUUUCCUAUGAAGGAGAAAAGACCAACUACGUGAAUUCGGGGUUGGCCAGCGUUCUUAGUAAGAGGUCCACGAUCCUGGGGAACGAGGAGGAAUCUCUGACCGGCACUUAUAUCAUCAUAACCAGUCUCUUCCAGGUUGAAACCAGGCGACUGGAUCCUGAUCAAGGUACUCCAGAGGAAAAACUGGAGCUCUCCGAGGUGGGAGGGCCCUUAUCAGGUUCUGCUCACAACACCGACAGCGUGCAAAAUCGCUGAAAGACCUUCGUGGAUCCACCAGAGCCACGCCAAAAAAGUACAAGGGGACACAAGCCCAGACGCCAGUUCACCUAUCAUCUAGUGAUCUGUAAGUGGAGGAGAGGGCAGAUUGGGUAUAUCCCGCCCUCUUGACUUCUCGCUUUCAGUCGACACACUAGGUGAUCUGGUGAACUUGGUCGACCUGAAGAAACCCCAUUGUAGCCCGAGCACUGACCUAGCCCCACCUGCCCGGUAGAGUAAAGGAAGAUCAGUCCAACCUGCAAAACCAGAAGAGCAACCCAUCACUCAAGAUGUGUCCUCAUCCUGUGGAAUCAGAUCCAUGACCAUGGUCUGCCUAUGGAGACUUAGAGUCCCAGAAAAGCAGGGUGUAUCUUUUGUUUAUCCAAAUAAGACACUGCAACCGGAAUCUUCCUGGCACAAGCUUAUAGCCCGAUAGCAACUGAGGAAGAAGAAGACUGUGUUUAAAAAUUUCAGACACUUCACAUGAUGUAGCAAUUGAAAAUGCGCGAGCAAGUGAAUGUCUACUGAAGUCUAUAGAGUAUGGGUGAAAUAUAUUAACAACAGGAGGGAAUGUUGAAAGAUUUUAUGUUUUAUGUGUUUUUAUUCGUUGUUUUAUUAUCUUUCAUUAAGAAGCAUAUCAUGAAGUGUUCAUAUAUUUCACAAGGUUUCUGUUGUGCAAGCUGACAUUUAACUCUACAACACAAAUAAGUUAGACAGGAAACAGAUGCAGCACCCAAACCACAAGAGUUGAAAAGUGCACCACGUUUCCUAGAGGAAGCAGCCAGACACACAUGUGACACACACACACCCACACACACAACCAUUGGUUUAGAGGAACUUGUAAAAGAGGAAAUGUGAUGUGCUUGCAUACGUGAUGUAACUUAUAAAAAGAACUGUUGCCUGCACUCAGUGUGUGGGUCUCACCAGAGUCCUCACCCGUGCGCGGGGUCUCGCCAGAGGCCUCACGCAUGCACGUUGCAGUUACUAUAUUCUAACUGUCUGAGUGUCUUUAUUCAACCUGAAGAAUGUCUUAUUAAGAAUAAACUCUUGACAAGUAACAUAUAGACUAUGACAAAAUGACAUUGUAACACUCAGCUGGGGGCACACAUAUACAGUAGGAUUUUUCUAAGUCUAUUUUAAUAUACUUCUUCACAUUACAUUGCAAUUUACAUUAAUGUACUUUACAUUUUACUGGAUGCUGGAAGCAUAUAAGCAUUUUUUUUAUUUAUGUGUAUGCAUUUUAACAGAAUAACUUAUUCCUGACAUCUAUUUUUAUAGCAACUAUGUUGCUAUUUUGAAUUGAAUUGCAAUUUUGUAAAAAAAAAAAAAAAAAAACCUGAUAAGGACAAUUCAUAAGACUGCUGCUGAGAAAAUGACUUAAAAAUGUCAUUCAAGUAGGUAUUCAACUUCCCAAAACAUAGAGAGCAAUCAAAAAGUUCUUCAAGCCCAUCUCACUGUGCAUUUUUGAACUGUUUUCAAGACUCCCACUAUUUUUAGUUUGCUCCCUGGAUUUCCUUUGCUGACAAGCAAUUAUUAUUAUUGACUACAAACAUACUACUGUUAGUUUCAGGUCUUUAUUCAUAGAUUUUCAGGGUUUUUAUGGGUAUGAAUGUAUAGAAUAACUCCAAAUGAAGACUUAAGUUGAUGUUAUCUGGAUAUGUAUAAAGUGUUUGCUCUUUUUUGAAGUGGUGAUGAAAUGCUAUAUCAUGACCUUGUUGUGGUCAAAAUAUGUAAUUGACAUUUUUAGCUAACUGAGACCAUGACUGUUAUAUAACUAGUGCUGUCAGCGUUAAUCUUGCUAAAAUGACGCUAAUGCCAUAACCGCAUUAACACGGCAAAUCUCCGUUAGCGAGUUAACGCAGAUCGCCCUGUGCGAUGGCUGCAUGGCGUCAACGCGUUAGCCCGGUUAGCUCAUUAACGCAUUGACACCGUGAAGCCAUUGCACGAGGUUAUGGUGUUAACGUCGUUUUAACGAGAUUAAAACAUAUAAAACAUAUAACUUUAAGUCUGUCAUUAAAUUUUGUUAUUGCAGAAUUGCAUAUUACACAGACAGUGCAUAGAACACUGCGCAAAGUAUUUAGGUAUUUUUAUUCAUCACACAAGAACACUCAUAGGUGUGUAACAACGAAAAUUAGUGUUUUAAUGAAGGCAAAUGGACUCGUAAAAUACAAUUAAGCGUUUUUAUUCUGUCUAAUAGACUUUUUUUAUCGAAGUAACUGAGAAAUAGAAAAAGAAGAUAAAAUUCUACUGGGUCUAAAGUGAUUGCUCAUUAAAUGUGCUUGACCCCAGCUGAGUUUUAAAUCUUUUCUUAACAGACUGUGACAUGUACAAUACUUACAUCAAAUCUUAAGUAUAGCUCUUAAAAGAAGUCAGAUUUUUACUAAAUUGGCAAUGACUCCAAAACUUUGACAGAAACUUGAAAUCUGGCUUAAAGAGGGAAAUGUCUGGUGUUGUAAUGUGAAGGUAACUUCCUUGUGUAUUUAGAUACAGUAAUAGGAAAGAUCUUGCUUCAAAUAUUAUCUUUAAAGGCACCACAAAGUUUUCGCUGCUAUCAUUGGCAUAUACUACAUUUAAAUAUACAUACACAGGUAUACACUGAGAUAAUAAAAUGAAGGCCAUAAUUAUAUUAAGGCUUGGUGUCUGUGUACAAAUUGGUGAUGCACUGAUUUAGGGCUUAUAUUUGUGAAUACAUCUUGGCUCAGCUGGAAUCUGUGAAUAGAUAGUUAAGACAAUAUUUGGCAAAAAAAAAAAAAAAAGUUUUAAAGUUAAAUAUACAUGACUUUUUUUUUGUACUUGAGUCUGUGGAAGCUAGGUACUAGAUACCAUGAGAACUUCCAGGCAUAAAUGGACACAUGCUAUACUAGGUAAAUGCAUUUUAUCUGAAUAAAUGAAAUUGUGCAGUGGGAA